RNAcentral lists this ribosomal RNA (468 nucleotides) under uncultured bacterium. RNAcentral's name for it is "partial 16S ribosomal RNA". It matches the Rfam family "Bacterial small subunit ribosomal RNA", at positions 28 to 507 of the family's 1533-position model. The record is from RNAcentral.
GACGAACGCUGGCGGCGUGCUUAACACAUGCAAGUCGAACGGAAAGGCCCUGCUUUUGUGGGGUGCUCGAGUGGCGAACGGGUGAGUAACACGUGAGUAACCUGCCCUUGACUUUGGGAUAACUUCAGGAAACUGGGGCUAAUACCGGAUAGGAGCUCCUGCUGCAUGGUGGGGGUUGGAAAGUUUCGGCGGUUGGGGAUGGACUCGCGGCUUAUCAGCUUGUUGGUGGGGUAGUGGCUUACCAAGGCUUUGACGGGUAGCCGGCCUGAGAGGGUGACCGGCCACAUUGGGACUGAGAUACGGCCCAGAAUCCUACGGGAGGCAGCAGUGGGGAAUAUUGCACAAUGGGCGGAAGCCUGAGGCAGCAACGCCGCGUGCGGGAUGACGGCCUUCGGGUUGUAAACCGCUUUCGCCUGUGACGAAGCGUGAGUGACGGUAAUGGGUAAAGAAGCACCGGCUAACUACGUG